RNAcentral lists this ribosomal RNA (213 nucleotides) under uncultured Actinomycetales bacterium. RNAcentral's name for it is "partial 16S ribosomal RNA". It matches the Rfam family "Bacterial small subunit ribosomal RNA", at positions 120 to 334 of the family's 1533-position model. Lineage: Bacteria; Bacillati; Actinomycetota; Actinomycetes; Actinomycetales. The record is from RNAcentral.
GGUAACCUGCCCACAACUUUGGGAUAACGCUAGGAAACUGGUGCUAAUACUGGAUAUGUGCUCCUGCUGCAUGGUGGGGGUUGGAAAGCUCCGGCGGUUGUGGAUGGACUCGCGGCCUAUCAGCUUGUUGGUGGGGUAGUGGCCUACCAAGGCGGCGACGGGUAGCCGGCCUGAGAGGGUGACCGGCCACAUUGGGACUGAGAUACGGCCCAG